This 468-nucleotide ribosomal RNA is filed under the name uncultured bacterium. RNAcentral's name for it is "partial 16S ribosomal RNA". It matches the Rfam family "Bacterial small subunit ribosomal RNA", at positions 28 to 507 of the family's 1533-position model. The record is from RNAcentral.
GACGAACGCUGGCGGCGUGCUUAACACAUGCAAGUCGAACGGAAAGGCCCUGCUUUUGUGGGGUGCUCGAGUGGCGAACGGGUGAGUAACACGUGAGUAACCUGCCCUUGACUUUGGGAUAACUUCAGGAAACUGGGGCUAAUACCGGAUAUGAGCUCCUGCUGCAUGGGGGGGGUUGGAAAGUUUCGGCGGUUGGGGAUGGACUCGCGGCUUAUCAGCUUGUUGGUGGGGUAGUGGCUGACCAAGGCUUUGACGGAUAGGCGGCCUGGGAGGGUGGCCGGGCACCAUGGGACUGAGGGACGGCCCAGUCGCCAACGUGCGGCAGCAGUGGGGAGUAUUGCACAAUGAGCGGAAGCCUGAUGCAGCAGCGCCGCGUGCGGGAUGACGGCCUUCGGGGUGUAAACCGCUUUCGCCUGUGACGAAGCGUGAGUGACGGUAACGGGUAAAGAAGCACCGGCUAACUACGUG